Molecule: ribosomal RNA, 465 nt
Filed under: Vreelandella stevensii
Lineage: Bacteria; Pseudomonadati; Pseudomonadota; Gammaproteobacteria; Oceanospirillales; Halomonadaceae
Description: partial 16S ribosomal RNA
Rfam family: Bacterial small subunit ribosomal RNA
Source: RNAcentral
CCUACGGGGAGCUGCAGUGGGGAAUAUUGGACAAUGGGCGAAAGCCUGAUCCAGCCAUGCCGCGUGUGUGAAGAAGGCCUUCGGGUUGUAAAGCACUUUCAGUGGGGAAGAAAGCCUCGGGGCUAAUACCCUCGAGGAAGGACAUCACCCACAGAAGAAGCACCGGCUAACUCCGUGCCAGCAGCCGCGGUAAUACGGAGGGUGCGAGCGUUAAUCGGAAUUACUGGGCGUAAAGCGCGCGUAGGCGGUCUGAUAAGCCGGUUGUGAAAGCCCCGGGCUCAACCUGGGAACGGCAUCCGGAACUGUCAGGCUAGAGUGCAGGAGAGGAAGGUAGAAUUCCCGGUGUAGCGGUGAAAUGCGUAGAGAUCGGGAGGAAUACCAGUGGCGAAGGCGGCCUUCUGGACUGACACUGACGCUGAGGUGCGAAAGCGUGGGUAGCAAACAGGAUUAGAUACCCCGGUAGUC